CAAGUCGAACGGGCCGCAAGGCCAGUGGCGCAAGGGUGAGUAAGGCGACGGUAACCAACCCCAGGAUUGGGUAUAGCCGCGGGAAACCGCGGGUAAUCCCCAGCGACGCAACGGCACCGGCAUCGGUGCCUUGCCAAAGCUUCNGCGUCGUGGGACGGGCUGUCGUGGUAUUAGCUUGUUGGCGGGGUAACGGCCCACCAAGGCUCUGAUGCCUACCGGGCGUGCGAGCGUGGCCCGGCACACUGGGACUGAGACACUGCCCAGACUCCUACGGGAGGCUGCAGUCGAGAAUCUUCGGCAAUGGGCGCAAGCCUGACCGAGCGACGCCGCGUGGAGGACGAAGGCCUUCGGGUUGUAAACUCCUGUCGAGGGGGAAAAAGGAUGGAAACAUCUUGAUUGAUCCCUGGAGGAAGCACGGGCUAAGUUCGUGCCAGCAGCCGCGGUAAGACGAACCGUGCGAACGUUAUUCGGAAUCAUUGGGCUUAAAGCGCGUGUAGGCGGAUUCGUGCGUCUGUCGCUGAAAUCCCCCGGCUCAACCGGGGAAGUGGCGUGGAUACGACGAGUCUGGAGGGGCAUAGGGGGACCUGGAACUUCCGGUGGAGCGGUGAAAUGCGUUGAGAUCGGAAGGAACGCCCGUGGCGAAAGCGAGGUCCUGGAUGCCUACUGACGCUGAGACGCGAAAGCCAGGGGAGCGAACGGGAUUAGAUACCCCGGUAGUCCUGGCCGUAAACGAUGGGUACUGGAUAGGGGGCUCGCCGAUGGGCUCCCUGUCGUAGGGAAACCGUGAAAGUACCCCGCCUGGGGAGUAUGGUCGCAAGGCUGAAACUCAAAGGAAUUGACGGGGGCUCACA
Molecule: ribosomal RNA, 851 nt
Filed under: uncultured Planctomycetia bacterium
Lineage: Bacteria; Pseudomonadati; Planctomycetota; Planctomycetia
Description: bacterial SSU rRNA
Rfam family: Bacterial small subunit ribosomal RNA
Source: RNAcentral